Molecule: non-coding RNA, 100 nt
Organism: Candidatus Thorarchaeota archaeon AB_25
Lineage: Archaea; Promethearchaeati; Candidatus Thorarchaeota
Source: Rfam
GUGGUAGACUCUAAAGUGCCUGACCAACAAGCUGCAUAUGAGAACACUAUGAACGCGUUACUUGCGGCUGUUUCAGGUUGUGAUGUGGUUCAUGACGGGG